ACGCAAAACUUACCUGGGCUUGAACCGCUACUGACCAAGGGUAGAAAUAUCCUCUUCCCGCAAGGGACAGUAGUAGAGGUGCUGCAUGGCUGUCGUCAGCUCGUGCCGUGAGGUGUUGGGUUAAGUCCCGCAACGAGCGCAACCCUUACUCGUAGUUGCCACCCGCAAGGGGGAACUCUACGAGGACUGCUCCGGAUAACGGAGAGGAAGGUGGGGAUGACGUCAAGUCAGCACGGCCUUUAUGUCCAGGGCUACACACGUGUUACAAUGCAUGGUACAGACUGUUGCGAACCCGCGAGGGGGAGCUAAUCGGACAAAACCAUGCUCAGUUCGGAUUGCAGUCUGCAACUCGGCUGCAUGAAGCUGGAAUCGCUAGUAAUGGCGUAUCAGAUCGACGCCGUGAAUACGUUCCCGGGUCUUGUACACACCG
This 430-nucleotide ribosomal RNA is filed under the name uncultured bacterium. RNAcentral describes it as "bacterial SSU rRNA". It matches the Rfam family "Bacterial small subunit ribosomal RNA", at positions 961 to 1392 of the family's 1533-position model. The record is from RNAcentral.